UACGAAGGGGGCUAGCGUUGCUCGGAAUUACUGGGCGUAAAGGGAGCGUAGGCGGAUAGUUUAGUCAGAGGUGAAAGCCCAGGGCUCAACCUUGGAAUUGCCUUUGAUACUGGCUAUCUUGAGUACGGAAGAGGUAUGUGGAACUCCGAGUGUAGAGGUGAAAUUCGUAGAUAUUCGGAAGAACACCAGUGGCGAAGGCGACAUACUGGUCCGUUACUGACGCUGAGGUGCGAAAGCGUGGGGAGCAAACAGG
Molecule: ribosomal RNA, 253 nt
Filed under: uncultured bacterium
Lineage: Bacteria
Description: partial 16S ribosomal RNA
Rfam family: Bacterial small subunit ribosomal RNA
Source: RNAcentral